UUGACCUCAAAUCAGGUAGGACUACCCGCUGAACUUAAGCAUAUCAAUAAGCGGAGGAAAAGAAACUAACAAGGAUUCCCCUAGUAACUGCGAGUGAACCGGGAAAAGCUCAAAUUUUGAAUCUGGCGGUCUUUCGGCCGUCCGAGUUGUAAUCUAGAGAAG
Molecule: ribosomal RNA, 162 nt
Filed under: Suillus collinitus
Lineage: Eukaryota; Fungi; Basidiomycota; Agaricomycetes; Boletales; Suillaceae
Description: partial 28S ribosomal RNA
Rfam family: Eukaryotic large subunit ribosomal RNA
Source: RNAcentral